ACUCAAAUGAAUUGACGGGGACCCGCACAAGCGGUGGAUUAUGUGGAUUAAUUCGAUGCAACGCGAAAAACCUUACCUACCCUUGACAUGUCCCGAAGCCCGGUGAGAGCCGGGGGUGCCCGAAAGGGAACGGGAACACAGGUGCUGCAUGGCUGUCGUCAGCUCGUGUCGUGAGAUGUUGGGUUAAGUCCCGCAACGAGCGCAACCCUUGUCAUUAGUUGCUACAUUCAGUUGGGCACUCUAAUGAGACUGCCGGUGACAAACCGGAGGAAGGUGGGGAUGACGUCAAGUCCUCAUGGCCCUUAUGGGUAGGGCUUCACACGUAAUACAAUGGCGCGUACAGAGGGUUGCCAAGGAGCGAUCUGGAGCCAAUCCCGCAAAGCGCGUCGUAGUCCGGAUUGCAGUCUGCAACUCGACUGCAUGAAGUCGGAAUCGCUAGUAAUCGCGGAUCAGCAUGUCGCGGUGAAUACGUUCCCGGGUCUUGUACACACCGCCCGU
RNAcentral lists this ribosomal RNA (498 nucleotides) under uncultured bacterium. RNAcentral's name for it is "partial 16S ribosomal RNA". It matches the Rfam family "Bacterial small subunit ribosomal RNA", at positions 899 to 1397 of the family's 1533-position model. The record is from RNAcentral.